RNAcentral lists this non-coding RNA (99 nucleotides) under Clostridium taeniosporum. Its description in RNAcentral is "Glycine sequence". It matches the Rfam family "Glycine riboswitch aptamer". From Rfam's summary of the family: This family represents the bacterial glycine riboswitch. Glycine riboswitches usually consist of two metabolite-binding aptamers domains with similar structures in tandem. Lineage: Bacteria; Bacillati; Bacillota; Clostridia; Eubacteriales; Clostridiaceae. The record is from RNAcentral.
GGACGAGCCUCUGGAGAGACUCAUAUUUAUAUGAGCACCGAAGGAGCAAAGUAAAUUUUAUUUACUGAAACUCUCAGGUAAAAGGACAGGGGAUAGGAU